GCUACAAGGGUUUAAGCACCUCCACCCCUAGCAAGAGGGACUGGAAGAAGCAUCACUUGAUGGCCACGGCACUGUCCAGUAUCAAGUGGAACACUUUCAGACUGGAGGAGGGAUGCGCAGUCGUGGAGUCCUCGCCACUGCCAUCCAUCCCAAGAAGCAGCUGCAGCCAUCCGCCAGGGGACGGAGAUGCUGCCGACCACCUGGACGUGGAGGAACGGCCACCAGCUGACAAAUCCAUAAUCUGAGUGAGGUCUUUCCUGACUGUCAUAUUUCUAUACAUCGUUUACAGGCAGCAGAGUUCAAAGGUCAAUCCAGCCUAAUCCACUGGUUGAAGGACAUUGUCAGCCACUUUUGUUGGUGCUGCAAAACAACUGAUUCAUCCCACAAAUUCCUUGAGCUGUGGCUAUGACUCUGCUCACCAUGUGAUAUAUGAACGCAGGUGGGUACUGGGGAGCUGCCAACAUGAGAACAUGGAACACGACGGGAC
Molecule: long non-coding RNA, 487 nt
Organism: Xyrauchen texanus (razorback sucker)
Lineage: Eukaryota; Metazoa; Chordata; Actinopteri; Cypriniformes; Catostomidae
Exons: 3
Source: RefSeq, a predicted model, not a curated record